RNAcentral lists this ribosomal RNA (496 nucleotides) under uncultured bacterium. RNAcentral describes it as "partial 16S ribosomal RNA". It matches the Rfam family "Bacterial small subunit ribosomal RNA", at positions 29 to 507 of the family's 1533-position model. The record is from RNAcentral.
AUGCACGCUGGCGGCGUGCCUAAUACAUGCCAGUCGAGCGAACAGACGAGGAGCUUGCUCCUCUGACGUUAGCGGCGGACGGGUGAGUAACACGUGGAUAACCUACCUAUAAGACUGGGAUAACUUCGGGAAACCGGAGCUAAUACCGGAUAAUAUAUUGAACCGCAUGGUUCAAUAGUGAAAGACGGUUUUGCUGUCACUUAUAGAUGGAUCCGCGCCGCAUUAGCUAGUUGGUAAGGUAACGGCUUACCAAGGCAACGAUGCGUAGCCGACCUGAGAGGGUGAUCGGCCACACUGGAACUGAGACACGGUCCAGACUCCUACGGGAGGCAGCAGUAGGGAAUCUUCCGCAAUGGGCGAAAGCCUGACGGAGCAACGCCGCGUGAGUGAUGAAGGUCUUCGGAUCGUAAAACUCUGUUAUUAGAGAAGAACAAAUGUGUAAGUAACUAUGCACGUCUUGACGGUACCUAAUCAGAAAGCCACGGCUAACUACGUG